CCUGUCCUGCCCUCCAGGCUCCUGGACUUCCCAUGAACUCACACUGCUGAUUUCCGGCCUCACAAACGCUCCCUUCCCCAGACCAUGGGGCCAGGGCUAAGCCCACAGGAAGGCUGGGCCAUGUCCCCCGCACCCAGGUCCCUGAGGGGCUGAGGCCUGGGCCCCCCAAGGCAGAGGCAAAGGGGCCACAGCUGGGUCCCUGCCUCCCUGGGACGGAGCCAGCAGGCUGGGGCAGGAGUCAGCUGGAGCUCUAAGCCACCCCGGUCCUCUUGAGCGCUGUGGCUGCGUCCUAGGCACUGGCGUCCCAACUGGAGAGAAUCUGGAGUCAGCGCAGGCCUCAGUCCUCCCUCCUCACUCCCAGCUGGCCACCAGCUCAAGAGAAGCUUCUGUAACCCCAAGAACUGUCGCCUGCCCAGAGCAGGUGAGGAAAUGCUCUGAGUCAGGGCGUUUCAGGCUAGCUGUGAGGGCACAAAGGAAGCUGUUUCUCCGAGCUUGGCACUGAGGAGUCAUAGCCAUGCUGGUAAAUGAGUAUCCCACUGGACUUUAUUUCUCGGAGGAAAUGAAAGAAAACGUCACGAGGAUUGUGCCCAACGCUCAUUCACUUCUGGUCGCCGGGAAGCCUCUGGCUGCCCCUGCGCAGUGGAGCUGUUUGUGCCAAGCUGCAGACCGGCCCUGGACGCUGCCC
Molecule: long non-coding RNA, 685 nt
Organism: Heterocephalus glaber (naked mole-rat)
Lineage: Eukaryota; Metazoa; Chordata; Mammalia; Rodentia; Bathyergidae
Source: Ensembl